This 61-nucleotide non-coding RNA is filed under the name Pseudorhodoplanes sinuspersici. Its description in RNAcentral is "Fluoride sequence". It matches the Rfam family "Fluoride riboswitch aptamer (crcB RNA motif)". The record is from Rfam by way of RNAcentral. Lineage: Bacteria; Pseudomonadati; Pseudomonadota; Alphaproteobacteria; Hyphomicrobiales.
AUCGAUGAUGGGGAUGGAGUCCCCCGAAACUGCCGCAGAGGCUGAUGACUCCUAUCGCGUU